GCGUGCAGGAUGACGGCCCUAUGGGUUGUAAACUGCUUUUGCGAGGAAGAAAACGGUGCUAUUUAUAGCAUUUUGACGGUACCUCGAGAAUAAGCACCGGYUAACUCCGUGCCAGCAGCCGCGGUAAUACGGAGGGUGCRAGCGUUAUCCGGAAUCACUGGGUUUAAAGGGUGCGUAGGCGGCAUUAUAAGUCAGAGGUGAAAGCCCGUCGCUUAACGAUGGAAUUGCCUUUGAUACUGUAGUGCUUGAAUCAAGUUGAGGCUGGCGGAAUGUGGCAUGUAGCGGUGAAAUGCAUAGAUAUGCCAUAGAACACCAAUUGCGAAGGCAGCUGGCUGGACUUGAAUUGACGCUGAGGCACGAAAGCGUGGGGAGCGAACAGGAUUAGAUACCCUGGUAGUCCACGCCCUAAACGAUGUUUACUCGUUCCAGGCACUGGUUGUCUGGGACCAAGCGAAAGCGUUAAGUAAACCACCUGGGGAGUACGUCGGCAACGAUGAAACUCAAAGAAUUGACGG
RNAcentral lists this ribosomal RNA (515 nucleotides) under uncultured bacterium. RNAcentral's name for it is "bacterial SSU rRNA". It matches the Rfam family "Bacterial small subunit ribosomal RNA", at positions 399 to 916 of the family's 1533-position model. The record is from RNAcentral.